This 503-nucleotide ribosomal RNA is filed under the name uncultured bacterium. RNAcentral describes it as "bacterial SSU rRNA". It matches the Rfam family "Bacterial small subunit ribosomal RNA", at positions 8 to 507 of the family's 1533-position model. The record is from RNAcentral.
AGAGUUUGAUCAUGGCUCAGAUUGAACGCUGGCGGCAUGCUUUACACAUGCAAGUCGAGCGGCAGCGCGGGGGCAACCCUGGCGGCGAGCGGCGAACGGGUGAGUAAUGCAUCGGAACGUACCCUGGAGUGGGGGAUAACGCCGCGAAAGCGGCGCUAAUACCGCAUAUGCUCUGAGGAGGAAAGUGGGGACCGCAAGGCCUCACGCUCUGGGAGCGGCCGAUGUCCGAUUAGCUAGUUGGUGGGGUAAAGGCUUACCAAGGCGACGAUCGGUAGCUGGUCUGAGAGGAUGAUCAGCCACACUGGGACUGAGACACGGCCCAGACUCCUACGGGAGGCAGCAGUGGGGAAUUUUGGACAAUGGGGGCAACCCUGAUCCAGCCAUGCCGCGUGAGUGAAGAAGGCCUUCGGGUUGUAAAGCUCUUUUGGUCGGGAAGAAAGCGCCUUGCCUAAUACGCGAGGUGGUUGACGGUACCGGCAGAAUAAGCACCGGCUAACUACGUG